GACGAACGCUGGCGGCGUGCUUAACACAUGCAAGUCGAACGGAAAGGCCCUGCUUUUGUGGGGUGCUCGAGUGGCGAACGGGUGAGUAACACGUGAGUAACCUGCCCUUGACUUUGGGAUAACUUCAGGAAACUGGGGCUAAUACCGGAUAGGAGCUCCUGCUGCAUGGUGGGGGUUGGAAAGUUUCGGCGGUUGGGGAUGGACUCGCGGCUUAUCAGCUUGUUGGUGGGGUAGUGGCUUACCAAGGCUUUGACGGGUAGCCGGCCUGAGAGGGUGACCGGCCACAUUGGGGCUUAGGAUCCGCCCAGGCUCCUUCGGGGGGCAGGAGGGGGGGAUAUUGGACCAAUGGCGGAAGCCUUAUUCAGCAACGCCGCGGUCGGGAUGGCGGCCUUCGGGUUGUAAACCGCUUUCGCCUUGUGCGGAGCGUGAGGGGCGGUUAUUGGUUAAGAAACACCGGGUAACUACGGU
Molecule: ribosomal RNA, 468 nt
Filed under: uncultured bacterium
Lineage: Bacteria
Description: partial 16S ribosomal RNA
Rfam family: Bacterial small subunit ribosomal RNA
Source: RNAcentral